GAUGAACGCUGGCGGCGUGCCUAAUACAUGCAAGUCGAGCGAACAGAUGAGGAGCUUGCUCCUCUGACGUUAGCGGCGGACGGGUGAGUAACACGUGGAUAACCUACCUAUAAGACUGGGAUAACUUCGGGAAACCGGAGCUAAUACCGGAUAAUAUAUUGAACCGCAUGGUUCAAUAGUGAAAGACGGUUUUGCUGUCACUUAUAGAUGGAUCCGCGCCGCAUUAGCUAGUUGGUAAGGUAACGGCUUACCAAGGCAACGAUGCGUAGCCGACCUGAGAGGGUGAUCGGCCAAACUGGAACUGAGACACGGUCCAGACUCCUACGGGAGGCAGCAGUAGGGAAUCUUCCGCAAUGGGCGAAAGCCUGACGGAGCAACGCCGCGUGAGUGAUGAAGGUCUUCGGAUCGUAAAACUCUGUUAUUAGGGAAGAACAAAUGUGUAAGUAACGAUGCACGUCUUGACGGUACCUAAUCAGAAAGCCACGGCUAACUACGU
RNAcentral lists this ribosomal RNA (496 nucleotides) under uncultured bacterium. Its description in RNAcentral is "partial 16S ribosomal RNA". It matches the Rfam family "Bacterial small subunit ribosomal RNA", at positions 28 to 506 of the family's 1533-position model. The record is from RNAcentral.